Salvelinus sp. IW2-2015 is the source of this 419-nucleotide long non-coding RNA. RefSeq lists it as uncharacterized. The record is from RefSeq and is a predicted model, not a curated record. Lineage: Eukaryota; Metazoa; Chordata; Actinopteri; Salmoniformes; Salmonidae.
UGACAAGCAGAAAGAAUUAACUCAGCAAGGCAUCAGAGAAAAGGCAGUGCACAGGGUCCUACAAGAAAUUCACUCCGUAACCAUGACCAUACUGUGUCCCCAAGGAUUUCUGUGACACCAUGUGUUGUUUCUAACUCUGGAUGGCAGCCAUUGGAUGCCAAGGAUAAGAGACAUGUGGCUAUACCCUCCAGGACUGAGGGUAAACUCAAACUAAAGCAGCAGAGAUCUAUGUGUUUGCUCUGCCAAUGCAGUCACUACAUUCCCAGGGUGUGUUGUGUUGUGAUGUUUCAGUUACUCCUAAGCCCUACUUAUACCUGGUGCUAACAUGAGUCCUUUGUCCUGAUCUUGUCUAAAUUCUAAUUGUGCCUUCAUUUCCAGAAAUGUGUCUACACAUGGUAUUAAAAUGUGUCUGCUAUCUG